This is a long non-coding RNA of Dipodomys ordii (Ord's kangaroo rat), 392 nucleotides long. RefSeq lists it as uncharacterized. The record is from RefSeq and is a predicted model, not a curated record. NCBI's taxonomy places the organism in Eukaryota, Metazoa, Chordata, Mammalia, Rodentia, Heteromyidae. The transcript is spliced from 3 exons.
ACACCCUGGACCCCCGCGGCGCAUCCCUCCCAUGGCUGUCAUGGCCGCCACGAUCUCCUCGCUGGCCCUCCCAGGCUGCCAGGCCUCAGCGCCAUUUUGAGCAUCUUCUUUGCUUCCCGGUCUCCCCCUCUGGCUCUCCCCGCGCCUCGCUUCGCCCUCCAAACCAAGAGAAUAUCCAUACCGGGCCAGAGACUUGGGGGACAGAUGAGAGAACCACCCCUCGAGGCUACCUGGAGCCGCGGCCGGGCAAGUGGUCCCUACGCAGCAGUCACCUUUGUACCACCCGGACUUUGCCAGCGUGGAGAGGGGCGGGGGAGGCCAACCAAGGAACGCAGGAAUGAAAAGAGUCGGGAUCGAGGGAGGAAAUGGAUUAGGGGAACUGCAGGUCGAUG